RNAcentral lists this ribosomal RNA (233 nucleotides) under uncultured bacterium. RNAcentral's name for it is "partial 16S ribosomal RNA". It matches the Rfam family "Bacterial small subunit ribosomal RNA", at positions 118 to 334 of the family's 1533-position model. The record is from RNAcentral.
CCAAAACCUAGCCUUAAGGAUGGGGAUAACAGACGGAAACGACUGCUAAUACCGAAUACGUUCUAAGCAUCGCAUGGUGCAUAGAAGAAAGGGUGGCCUCUACAAGAAAGCUAUCGCCUUAAGAGGGGUUUGCGACUGAUUAGGUAGUUGGUGAGGUAACGGCUCACCAAGCCGACGAUCAGUAGCCGGUCUGAGAGGAUGAACGGCCACACUGGAACUGAGACACGGUCCAG